GACGAACGCUGGCGGCGUGCUUAACACAUGCAAGUCGAACGGAAAGGCCCUGCUUUUGUGGGGUGCUCGAGUGGCGAACGGGUGAGUAACACGUGAGUAACCUGCCCUUGACUUUGGGAUAACUUCAGGAAACUGGGGCUAAUACCGGAUAGGAGCUCCUGCUGCAUGGUGGGGGUUGGAAAGUUUCGGCGGUUGGGGAUGGACUCGCGGCUUAUCAGCUUGUUGGUGGGGUAGUGGCUUACCAAGGCUUUGACGGGUAGCCGGCCUGAGAGGGUGACCGGGCACAUGGGGACUGAGAUACGGCCCAGAGUGCUACGGGAGGCAGCAGUGGGGAAUAUGGCACAAUGGGCGGAAGCCUGAUGCAGCAACGCCGCGUGCGGGAUGACGGCCUUCGGGUUGUAAACCGCUUUCGCCUGUGACGAAGCGUGAGUGACGGUAAUGGGUAAAGAAGCACCGGCUAACUACGUG
This 468-nucleotide ribosomal RNA is filed under the name uncultured bacterium. RNAcentral's name for it is "partial 16S ribosomal RNA". It matches the Rfam family "Bacterial small subunit ribosomal RNA", at positions 28 to 507 of the family's 1533-position model. The record is from RNAcentral.